AUUGAACGCUGGCGGAAUGCUUUACACAUGCAAGUCGAACGGCAGCACGGACUUCGGUCUGGUGGCGAGUGGCGAACGGGUGAGUAAUACAUCGGAACGUGCCCAAUCGUGGGGGAUAACGUAGCGAAAGCUACGCUAAUACCGCAUACGAUCUAAGGAUGAAAGCGGGGGAUCGCAAGACCUCGCGCGAUUGGAGCGGCCGAUGGCAGAUUAGGUAGUUGGUAGGGUAAAGGCCUACCAAGCCGACGAUCUGUAGCUGGUCUGAGAGGAUGAUCAGCCACACUGGGACUGAGACACGGCCCAGACUCCUACGGGAGGCAGCAGUGGGGAAUUUUGGACAAUGGACGCAAGUCUGAUCCAGCCAUUCCGCGUGCAGGAUGAAGGCCCUCGGGUUGUAAACUGCUUUUGUACAGAACGAAAAGGCUCUGGUUAAUACCUAGGGCUCAUGACGGUACUGUAAGAAUAAGCACCGGCUAACUCCGUGCCAGCCGCCGCAGUAA
This 500-nucleotide ribosomal RNA is filed under the name uncultured bacterium. RNAcentral's name for it is "partial 16S ribosomal RNA". It matches the Rfam family "Bacterial small subunit ribosomal RNA", at positions 30 to 523 of the family's 1533-position model. The record is from RNAcentral.